CCUCAUGUCUCCAUCAUCAACUCGCCCAUUCUUGUGCCAUUUCAUAUCAUUGGCAGUAUGCAUUAACAUGUAUAGUCGCUGUAAUCUUGGCUUUAUUGGAAAAUAACUCAAUACUUUUUGAGGAAUCUUAUUCUUAUCUUCAGAACUAUUCUGAUAUAUUAGCUCAUUACAAAUGGGGCACUUAUCUAACCCUUCAUUUUCCUUGUAAAAUAGUGCACAAUCAUAUUUACAUGCAUGGAUUUUUUCCUAGCCCAGUCCGAGAUCUUUUAAAAUUUUAU
This 278-nucleotide long non-coding RNA is filed under the name Olea europaea (common olive). RNAcentral describes it as "long non-coding RNA (OEUR_LNC007643)". The record is from RNAcentral. Lineage: Eukaryota; Viridiplantae; Streptophyta; Magnoliopsida; Lamiales; Oleaceae.